CUCUCUCUCUCUCUCUCUCUCUCUCUUCAAUCGGACUGAAACUGAAGGCCACACCGCUCAAUCGCUGCCUCUCUCCUUUCUUCUCUCUCUCUCUCUGACCACCGAUCAGUGCGAUCUCCGGUGACCAAAUCCCUUCUCGACAACCGCUACUGCCUUUUGCCUUCUCUACAAGCUUCUCCCAAACUCCGUCGUUCACCUCUCUCUCUCUCUCUCUCUGCGCUUCUCACCCGCAGUCGAUCUCUCUCCAUUUCUCUACCACCCAGCUCCUCUUCCUUCUCUCCAGUCCGCACCACACAGCUCCUCUUCUCUCCGCAGUCGGCACCACACAGCUUCGGCCUCUCUCUCAUGAAUCUUCACCUGGUAUUUUUGUUUUUAAGCUUGAAUCAAUGUUUAAGUGAGUAGAGCUAAUUGUUUUGUUUGAUUUUUGUUUAUUUCUGUAAUUUUUUUGAGCAAGUAUUUGUAUUGAUCUGCCUGCUCAAUUUUUAAGACUUGGGACUGAGUUAAUUUUAUGUACUUUUAAUUUGCUUGUCGAAUCAUUAGCAAGGAUUCUGUAUUUGCUUCCGUUUCAGCAAUUUGGGUACUCCUCCAAGCUCCAACAGUGUAUCAAAUUCCAACGUCUAACACCGAUGACAACUCCAAUUUCUAACAAUGGUGACUUUCCAGCUAUGAAGACAACUUCAACAAAUUUUUUAACAAUAAUCUGACAAUGAUAACAACUUCAGCGAAUAUUCUCAUUUUAUUUUCUACUCUUUUUGCGGCUAAUAUUUUAUUCUAGUGGAUAAUGACUAUUUUGGAUAGUGUACUGAGUUGAUGAUUAAAUCUUGGAGCUUUUGAGAAGUUUUUAACUAAUUUUAUUUUGGUAUUGUAUUUGAUUUGUUCAAUAUUCCAUACAAUAUCUAGAAUAUAAGCAUGUAAAAUUUAUUUAUAAUUUUUGACAUCCAUAACAUAACUGGUUUUUUUUUAUCAAGAUAACACCUCUAGCAAUUUACACUCAUUCUAUAUAUUUUCUACUUCUUUUGUGGCUAAUAUUAUUCUUUAGUGGAUAUUGAAUGUUUUGGUAGUGUGUUGAUGGUCUAGUAUUGGAGUUUUUGAGAAGUUUUUAACUGGUUUUAAUAUUAGUAUUGUGUUGGUAUUAGUUUUGAUAGUGGGUUGAUGAUAAGUUUUUGAGCUUAUUAAAAAUAUGUAAAUUUUAUUGCUUAGAAUAAACUGUUGUCUUAAUUUAUUGCCUUAACAAAAUUAUAUUACUAUUGUUUUAGCUUUUAUAGUUUUUUUUUGUUUGUUAAUUUUUUUUUUAUAUAUAGUUACAGUACUUAUGUAAAUAACUGGUUAUUUUAUAUGAUAAAAAAUGAAUCACAAUUUUAUAGUUUUUUAUGGCAUUCUUUUUUAUUUAUAAAAUUUUUCCCAUAUUUUAAAGUUUUUUUUUAAAAAAUGCCAUAUUUAAUGCAAUUAAGUUUGCAUGCCAUAUCUAUCAAAACUUUAAUUUCUUUUCCCAUAUUUUUGUAAAUAGCCCAAUAAAAAUCUAAAAACACAUUUGGGCCAAGAUAAGGGCCGUGGGCCUAUUCCCCCUCCCCACCCAAACUUGGACUGCUCCCCACGAA
Cannabis sativa is the source of this 1598-nucleotide long non-coding RNA. RefSeq lists it as uncharacterized. Lineage: Eukaryota; Viridiplantae; Streptophyta; Magnoliopsida; Rosales; Cannabaceae. The record is from RefSeq and is a predicted model, not a curated record. The transcript has 2 exons.